GAGUAACUGUUGACAUCGUGACGGUAUCCAACCAGAAAGCCACGGCUAACUACGUGCCAGCAGCCGCGGUAAUACGUAGGUGGCAAGCGUUGUCCGGAUUUAUUGGGCGUAAAGCGAGCGCAGGCGGUUUUUUAGGUCUGAUGUGAAAGCCUUCGGCUUAACCGGAGAAGUGCAUCGGAAACCGGGAGACUUGAGUGCAGAAGAGGACAGUGGAACUCCAUGUGUAGCGGUGAAAUGCGUAGAUAUAUGGAAGAACACCAGUGGCGAAGGCGGCUGUCUGGUCUGCAACUGACGCUGAGGCUCGAAAGCAUGGGUAGCGAACAGGAUUAGAUACCCUGGUAGUCCAUGCCGUAAACGAUGAGUGCUAAGUGUUGGAGGGUUUCCGCCCUUCAGUGCUGCAGCUAACGCAUUAAGCACUCCGCCUGGGGAGUACGACCGCAAGGUUGAAACUCAAAGGAAUUGACGGGGGCCCGCACAAGCGGUGGAGCAUGUGGUUUAAUUCGAUGCUACGCGAAGAACCUUACCAGGUCUUGACAUCUUCUGCUAACCUAAGAGAUUAGGCGUUCCCUUCGGGGACGGAAUGACAGGUGGUGCAUGGUUGUCGUCAGCUCGUGUCGUGAGAUGUUGGGUUAAGUCCCGCAACGAGCGCAACCCUUAUUGUUAGUUGCCAGCAUUCAGUUGGGCACUCUGGCAAGACUGCCGGUGACAAACCGGAGGAAGGUGGGGAUGACGUCAAAUCAUCAUGCCCCUUAUGACCUGGGCUACACACGUGCUACAAUGGACGGUACAACGAGUCGCGAAACCGCGAGGUCAAGCUAAUCUCUUAAAGCCGUUCUCAGUUCGGAUUGUAGGCUGCAACUCGCCUACAUGAAGUUGGAAUCGCUAGUAAUCGUGGAUCAGCAUGCCACGGUGAAUACGUUCCCGGGCCUUGUACACACCGCCCGUCACACCAUGAGAGUUUGUAACACCCAAAGCCGGUGAGGUAACC
RNAcentral lists this ribosomal RNA (988 nucleotides) under uncultured bacterium. RNAcentral describes it as "bacterial SSU rRNA". It matches the Rfam family "Bacterial small subunit ribosomal RNA", at positions 447 to 1440 of the family's 1533-position model. The record is from RNAcentral.